GAUGAACGCUGGCGGCGUGCCUAAUACAUGCAAGUCGAGCGAACGGACGAGAAGCUUGCUUCUCUGAUGUUAGCGGCGGACGGGUGAGUAACACGUGGAUAACCUACCUAUAAGACUGGGAUAACUUCGGGAAACCGGAGCUAAUACCGGAUAAUAUUUUGAACCGCAUGGUUCAAAAGUGAAGGACGGUCUUGCUGUCACUUAUAGGUGGAUCCGCGCUGCAUUAGCUAGUUGGUAAGGUAACGGCUUACCAAGGCAACGAUGCAUAGCCGACCUGAGAGGGUGAUCGGCCACACUGGAACUGAGACACGGUCCAGACUCCUACGGGAGGCAGCAGUAGGGAAUCUUCCGCAAUGGGCGAAAGCCUGACGGAGCAACGCCGCGUGAGUGAUGAAGGUCUUCGGAUCGUAAAACUCUGUUAUUAGGGAAGAGCAUAUGUGUAAGUAACUGUGCACAUCUUGACGGUACCUAAUCAGAAAGCCACGGCUAACUACGUG
RNAcentral lists this ribosomal RNA (497 nucleotides) under uncultured bacterium. RNAcentral's name for it is "partial 16S ribosomal RNA". It matches the Rfam family "Bacterial small subunit ribosomal RNA", at positions 28 to 507 of the family's 1533-position model. The record is from RNAcentral.